RNAcentral lists this ribosomal RNA (497 nucleotides) under uncultured bacterium. Its description in RNAcentral is "partial 16S ribosomal RNA". It matches the Rfam family "Bacterial small subunit ribosomal RNA", at positions 28 to 507 of the family's 1533-position model. The record is from RNAcentral.
GAUGAACGCUGGCGGCGUGCCUAAUACAUGCAAGUCGAGCGAACGGACGAGAAGCUUGCUUCUCUGAUGUUAGCGGCGGACGGGUGAGUAACACGUGGAUAACCUACCUAUAAGACUGGGAUAACUUCGGGAAACCGGAGCUAAUACCGGAUAAUAUUUUGAACCGCAUGGUUCAAAAGUGAAAGACGGUCUUGCUGUCACUUAUAGAUGGAUCCGCGCUGCAUUAGCUAGUUGGUAAGGUAACGGCUUACCAAGGCAACGAUGCAUAGCCGACCUGAGAGGGUGAUCGGCCACACUGGAACUGAGACACGGUCCAGACUCCUACGGGAGGCAGCAGUGGGGAAUCUUCCGCAAUGGGCGAAAGCCUGACGGAGCAACGCCGCGUGAGUGAAGAAGGUCUUCGGAUCGUAAAACUCUGUUAUUAGGGAAGAACAUAUGUGUAAGUAACUGUGCACGUCUUGACGGUACCUAAUCAGAAAGCCACGGCUAACUACGUG